CCUACGGGAGGCAGCAGUGAGGAAUAUUGGUCAAUGGGCGCGAGCCUGAACCAGCCAAGUCGCGUGAAGGAUGACUGCCCUACGGGUUGUAAACUUCUUUUGUCAAGGAGUAAAGUGAGGCACGCGUGCCCUUUCUGUAUGUACUUUAUGAAUAAGAAUCGGCUAACUCCGUCCCAGCAGCCGCGGUAAUACGGAGGAGCCGAGCGUUAUCCGGAUUUAUUGGGUUUAAAGGGAGCGUAGAUGGGUUGUUAAGGCAGUUGUGAAAGUUUGCGGCUCAACCGUAAAAUUGCAAUUGAUACUGGGAGUCUUGAGUACAGUAGAGGUAGGCGGAAUUCGUGGUGUAGCGGUGAAAUGCUUAGAUAUCACGAAGAACUCCGAUUGCGAAGGCAGCUUACUAAACGGCCACUGACAUUGAUGCUCGAAAGUGUGGGUAUCAAACAGGAUUAGAUACCCUAGUAGUC
Molecule: ribosomal RNA, 461 nt
Filed under: uncultured bacterium
Lineage: Bacteria
Description: partial 16S ribosomal RNA
Rfam family: Bacterial small subunit ribosomal RNA
Source: RNAcentral